This is a long non-coding RNA of Tribolium castaneum (red flour beetle), 352 nucleotides long. RefSeq lists it as uncharacterized. NCBI's taxonomy places the organism in Eukaryota, Metazoa, Arthropoda, Insecta, Coleoptera, Tenebrionidae. The record is from RefSeq and is a predicted model, not a curated record. The transcript is spliced from 3 exons.
GUGCAAUUGUGACCUAAUUUUGCGCCUAAUUGGCUAUUUUUUCCUACUGUGUUAGUAUAAAACGGGGUUGCGGUUUAAGCCAAACAUUACAACUCCACUCGUCUUCAAAAAUGUUUAAAAUCCUAAUUUCUUGCCUCUUGUUCGUCGUUGUUUACUCAGCGAUGGAAAUAGACGGCCACCCCGUUGUGGAAGUGGCAACGGGAGACCAGCCGAUGACUCUUUCAGCUGUGGAUUCUUCUCAAGCACAAGCCCCUUCUGCGGUCAGUAAGCGAAUUGGCGGCGUAUUGCUUGAAACACUAACCGGCGGAAAUUAAAAUCUCCAAAUCGCCAAUAAAUAAUACUUCAAAGUAAA